Lycium ferocissimum is the source of this 1073-nucleotide long non-coding RNA. RefSeq lists it as uncharacterized. Lineage: Eukaryota; Viridiplantae; Streptophyta; Magnoliopsida; Solanales; Solanaceae. The record is from RefSeq and is a predicted model, not a curated record. The transcript has 4 exons.
CAACAGAGUAAGACCACAAAAUAUCAACCGGCGGUUCUCUUUUUUCCUUUUCUAUUUACCCUUUUCCAUUUGUCUGCUUCAUUCAAUUGCCUUUUCCUGUUCCCAGUUUUAGUCUUAACUAUGUCUGCAUAUUAAGAUUCGUUUUAUUUCGACUAUAACGCGGGCUUGCCUGUAAAACUUUAUCUUUAUGUCGCAGUUCAUUAUUUUCCGGGUGCGUUGUACCAAAAAAUGUGGAAGAAUGCAGAAUGAGGGCCUACAGUGGUCACUCUUGAAACUUUCAACGGUUCGUUUACACUUAAGGUCUUCGGUGAAAUAAGAUCUGCCGGGAAACUAGUAGCUGCUAAAUAUUCUUCUAAAAUUUUUUAUGCUGAUGUUGGUUGUGGAAUUGAUUUGUUCACAAACAACAUGUUUAGAUCAUGGGAUUCCUACCUGGAAUCGUUCAUUCCUAUGGAAGAACACGGUGGAUGCCGUCUCUAUGGUACUGAAAUUUAUCAGGGGUCCUGCGGUCAUAGUUGCAGCCUUUAUCAGUAUUGGAUUUCGAGGUAUCUCUUUGCAUAUUGCAAAAGAAGUAUAAUAUCACCAACAUCCUUUCAUCAUUAUACCAAGCUGCAGAAACAUGGGCUCACGCUUUGAAGUCCUCGGUUAUUAGUUAUAGUUGUAAACUGGAAUCGGUUAAAUUAUUCGUAAGAAAUUAUCAUUACGUUGACUAAUCUCCAGUUUAACUGGUGCCUCUAACCAAAAUUGGCUAACCAUGCUGUCUUUGGCGUCUUGAAAUGAGGUCCAUUCGCUACUUGAAUUUGGUAGAGAUAUGGUGUAAAACACACGAACUGUGAUUGAUACUUAUGUGAGGAAUUCGCGAAGUCUUGGGCAUAUUUGUGAUUGACUUGAUCAAGUAAGGAGGCACGCCGUGUUACCAAUACGGAGACUAAUGGAGGAUCUUGGAAGAGAAAAUGGAGGACCUCCAAGAAUAUGGUUUUGGAAAGAGAACUUUUUGUUCUUUGAAGUGUUGUUUCUUACCACUAUACCAAGAGAUCAAUCAUUUAAAGUGGCUAAGCUUCAUGGUGGUCAUCAUC